AGCGAACGCUGGCGGCAGGCCUAACACAUGCAAGUCGAACGGAACCUUCGGGAUUAGUGGCGGACGGGUGAGUAACACGUGGGAACGUGCCCUUUGGUUCGGAACAACUCAGGGAAACUUGAGCUAAUACCGGAUGUGCCCUUCGGGGGAAAGAUUUAUCGCCAUUGGAGCGGCCCGCGUCUGAUUAGCUAGUUGGUGAGGUAACGGCCCACCAAGGCGACGAUCAGUAGCUGGUCUGAGAGGAUGAUCAGCCACACUGGGACUGGGACACGGCCCAGACUCCUACGGGAGGCAGCAGUGGGGAAUCUUGCGCAAUGGGCGAAAGCCUGACGCAGCCAUGCCGCGUGAAUGAUGAAGGUCUUAGGAUUGUAAAAUUCUUUCAGCGGGGACGAUAAUGACGGUACCCGCAGAAGAAGCUCCGGCUAACUUCGUG
RNAcentral lists this ribosomal RNA (433 nucleotides) under uncultured bacterium. Its description in RNAcentral is "partial 16S ribosomal RNA". It matches the Rfam family "Bacterial small subunit ribosomal RNA", at positions 29 to 507 of the family's 1533-position model. The record is from RNAcentral.